GAUGAACGCUGGCGGCGUGCCUAAUACAUGCAAGUCGAGCGAACGGACGAGAAGCUUGCUUCUCUGAUGUUAGCGGCGGACGGGUGAGUAACACGUGGAUAACCUACCUAUAAGACUGGGAUAACUUCGGGGAACCGGAGCUAAUACCGGAUAAUAUUUUGAACCGCAUGGUUCAAAAGUGAAAGACGGUCUUGCUGUCACUUAUAGAUGGAUCCGCGCUGCAUUAGCUAGUUGGUAAGGUAACGGCUUACCAAGGCAACGAUGCAUAGCCGACCUGAGAGGGUGAUCGGCCACACUGGAACUGAGACACGGUCCAGACUCCUACGGGAGGCAGCAGUAGGGAAUCUUCCGCAAUGGGCGAAAGCCUGACGGAGCAACGCCGCGUGAGUGAUGAAGGUCUUCGGAUCGUAAAACUCUGUUAUUAGGGAAGAACAUAUGUGUAAGUAACCGUGCACAUCUUGACGGUACCUAAUCAGAAAGCCACGGCUAACUACGUGCCAGCAGCCGCGGUAAUACGUAGGUGGCAAGCGUUAUCCGGAAUUAUUGGGCGUAAAGCGCGCGUAAGGCGGUUUUUUAAGUCUGAUGUGAAAGCCCACGGCUCAGCCGUGGAGGGUCAUUGGAAACUGGAAAACUUGAGUGCAGAAGAGGAAAGUGGAAUUCCAUGUGUAGCGGUGAAAUGCGCAGAGAUAUGGAGGAACAUCAGUGGCGAAGGCGACUUUCUGGUCUGUAACUGACGCUGAUGUGCGAAAGCGUGGGGAUCAAACAGGAUUAGAUACCCUGGUAGUCCACGCCGUAAACGAUGAGUGCUAAGUGUUAGGGGGUUUCCGCCCCUUAGUGCUGCAGCUAACGCAUUAAGCACUCCGCCUGGGGAGUACGACCGCAAGGUUGAAACUCAAAGGAAUUGACGGGGACCCGCACAAGCGGUGGAGCAUGUGGUUUAAUUCGAAGCAACGCGAAGAACCUUACCAAAUCUUGACAUCCUUUGACAACUCUAGAGAUAGAGCUUUCCCCUUCGGGGGACAAAGUGACAGGUGGUGCAUGGUUGUCGUCAGCUCGUGUCGUGAGAUGUUGGGUUAAGUCCCGCAACGAGCGCAACCCUUAAGCUUAGUUGCCAUCAUUAAGUUGGGCACUCUAAGUUGACUGCCGGUGACAAACCGGAGGAAGGUGGGGAUGACGUCAAAUCAUCAUGCCCCUUAUGAUUUGGGCUACACACGUGCUACAAUGGACAAUACAAAGGGCAGCGAAACCGCGAGGUCAAGCAAAUCCCAUAAAGUUGUUCUCAGUUCGGAUUGUAGUCUGCAACUCGACUACAUGAAGCUGGAAUCGCUAGUAAUCGUAGAUCAGCAUGCUACGGUGAAUACGUUCCCGGGUCU
RNAcentral lists this ribosomal RNA (1373 nucleotides) under uncultured bacterium. RNAcentral's name for it is "bacterial SSU rRNA". It matches the Rfam family "Bacterial small subunit ribosomal RNA", at positions 28 to 1381 of the family's 1533-position model. The record is from RNAcentral.